Molecule: ribosomal RNA, 522 nt
Filed under: Triticum aestivum (bread wheat)
Lineage: Eukaryota; Viridiplantae; Streptophyta; Magnoliopsida; Poales; Poaceae
Description: partial small subunit ribosomal RNA
Source: RNAcentral
AUGGCGGCCCUCAUCAAGCUCGGAAGCCUUCUUAGGCAGAGUGCUUUGGCGAGCAGUGCCUCGACCGGCUCGGCUCCUGCCCUGUUCAACGCUGCCCGCUUCAUGUGCGCCGGCCAGCCCGCUGGUGGCAAUAAGCUUUUCGUCGGCGGCCUGGCCUGGGCUACUGACGAUCAUUCGCUGAAGGAGGCGUUCCAAAGCUUUGGAGAGGUCGUUGAGGCACGUGUCAUCACUGAUCGAGAGACUGGAAGGUCUAGAGGGUUUGGUUUUGUGAGCUUUGCGAAUGAAGCUGAUGCAGAUAGCGCUGCAAAAGGCAUGGACGGUCAGGAGCUUGCAGGGAGGAACGUCCGUGUGAACUUCGCCAAUGAGAGGCCUUCGGGUGGUGGCGGCUUCUCACGCGGCGGCGGUGGCUAUGGAGGAGGUGGUGGCUUUGGCGGCGGCGGCGGCUAUGGUGGUGGCGGCGGCGGCUAUGGCGGUGGUGGCCGAGGUGGCGGUGGCUAUGGUGGUGACCGUGAAGCUUUCUAA